GUGCAGCAGGCGCGAAAACUUUACAAUGCUGGCAACAGCGAUAAGGGAACCUCGAGUGCCAGGUUACAAAUCUGGCUGUCGAGAUGCCUAAAAAGCAUUUCAUAGCAAGGGCCGGGCAAGACCGGUGCCAGCCGCCGCGGUAACACCGGCGGCUCGAGUGGUAACCGUUAUUAUUGGGUCUAAAGGGUCUGUAGCCGGCCGGAUAAGUCUCUUGAGAAAUCUGGCAGCUUAACUGUCAGGCUUUCAGGAGAUACUGUCUGGCUCGAGGCCGGGAGAGGUGAGAGGUACUUCAGGGGUAGGGGUGAAAUCUUGUAAUCCUUGAAGGACCACCAGUGGCGAAGGCGUCUCACCAGAACGGACCUGACGGCAAGGGACGAAAGCUAGGGGCACGAACCGGAUUAGAUACCCGGGUAGUCCUAGCCGUAAACGAUACUCGCUAGGUGUCGGCCACGGUGCGACCGUUGUCGGUGCCGUAGGGAAGCCGUGAAGCGAGC
This 494-nucleotide ribosomal RNA is filed under the name uncultured archaeon. RNAcentral's name for it is "bacterial SSU rRNA". It matches the Rfam family "Archaeal small subunit ribosomal RNA", at positions 330 to 824 of the family's 1478-position model. The record is from RNAcentral.